RNAcentral lists this transfer RNA (68 nucleotides) under Agrilus planipennis (emerald ash borer). It matches the Rfam family "tRNA". From Rfam's summary of the family: Transfer RNA (tRNA) molecules are approximately 80 nucleotides in length. Their secondary structure includes four short double-helical elements and three loops (D, anti-codon, and T loops). The record is from Rfam by way of RNAcentral. Lineage: Eukaryota; Metazoa; Arthropoda; Insecta; Coleoptera; Buprestidae.
CUCGUAUUAGCUUAGUGGUACAGUACUGGUACGUAAAACCAAGGGCCCGGGUUCAAUUCUCGGCGAGG